GACGAACGCUGGCGGCGUGCUUAACACAUGCAAGUCGAACGGCAAGGCCCUGCUUUUGUGCUGUGCUCGAGUGGCGAACGGGUGCGUAACACGUGAGUAACCUGCCCUUGACUUUGGGAUAACUUCAGGUAACUGGGGCUAAUACCGGAUAGGAGCUCCUGCUGCAUGGUGGGGGUUGGAAAGUUUCGGCGGUUGGGGAUGGACUCGCGGCUUAUCAGCUUGUUGGUGGGGUAGUGGCUUACCAAGGCUUUGACGGGUAGCCGGCCUGAGAGGGUGACCGGCCACAUUAGGACUGAGAUACGGCCCAGACUCCUACGGGAGGCAGCAGUGGGGAAUAUUGCACAAUGGGCGGAAGCCUGAUGCAGCAACGCCGCGUGCGGGAUGACGGCCUUCGGGUUGUAAACCGCUUUCGCCUGUGACGAAGCGUGAGUGACGGUAAUGGGUAAAGAAGCACCGGCUAACUACGUG
This 468-nucleotide ribosomal RNA is filed under the name uncultured bacterium. RNAcentral describes it as "partial 16S ribosomal RNA". It matches the Rfam family "Bacterial small subunit ribosomal RNA", at positions 28 to 507 of the family's 1533-position model. The record is from RNAcentral.